Molecule: small RNA, 71 nt
Filed under: Xanthomonas sp. NCPPB 1560
Lineage: Bacteria; Pseudomonadati; Pseudomonadota; Gammaproteobacteria; Lysobacterales; Lysobacteraceae
Also listed under: 7 other names
Description: sX9 sRNA
Rfam family: Xanthomonas sRNA sX9
Source: RNAcentral
AGGCCGCCUCCUUGGUUCUGAGUGCGCCGUCCACAUCCACAUGACGACUGCUCGCUACGUUUUUGUUGGCC